CACCAGCCGGCGAUUGAUUGCUUGGGGCUGAGAGCGAGGGCGGAGGGCAGGGGAGCGCCUCUGCCGAGGGGGCGGGGCGGCGGCGGCGGCGGGGGGCCGCGACCGUUAAAGCCGUUGGAGGCGGCCGUGUGCGGGAGAGGCCCCUCAGAGCGGGCUGGCGGGGGCGUCUGGCAGGAGGUGCCGCGCUGCCAGUAAAUCUCAGGUCUGAUGGUAAACAGGCCUUCUGUGUCAGAUGGGGACUCCCGCAGUGCACUCUGCACGCCUAAAUGUGCUUGCUCCAAGAAAGGAGACUUCCUUUCCCUCUUUAAGAUGGAAUAUCCAGUAAUCGCUGCUUCAGAUCAGAUAGGCACAGUACCAAGACAGGUACAAAGGCAUUCUCUUCUUCAAAGCAUUUACAAUAAUAGACGAAGAAAUGGUGAAACAGAGCGAAGAGGAGCGUGAGAGGAGCGGAGUGCCAAGCAGCAGCGCGGAGCCGCUCCGUGGGAGCCCGGGAUCUCACACCCCCGGAAGCGCAGCCGGUUCCCAUCCACAGCCCUACCCAGCUCGGCGUAUCUGAUGUUUGCUCUUCCCAGCUGUGCAUGUGGGCAAACAAAAUUUGAAUAACUGCUGGUGGUUAAUCAGAAAAAUAUCUCUGGACACACGCUGUAAACAGCUCGAAGAGUGCGUAUGUUAAUAGACCGCAGGAAUGAAAGCCGCGCAGGCUGCCUGCGCCAAGGCGGCCUCGUUAGACACGUUAAAACGGAGACGAGAUUCCCCGCGUUUGGAAGGCAACCCGUACUGUGAGCGAUGUGCAAGCGGCUCGAAAAAAUGGAAUUAGGAUGAAAAUGAUCCCUCUCCCGCUACUGUCCUUGUGCUUCGUCUCUCCGAGCGAAAAGCAAGGCGGGUGAGAGAAAUGAGCUCGGCCAUAAACACGCUGCCGACGCAUCAAAGGCGAAAAGGAGCGGUGGGGAGACGUUGCCCUCGGCCGCUAACGCGUCGUUAUCUCCAGGGGCCUAGCAAAGUUAGACCACGGAGCACCAGGAUUAAGGGCCGAAAGCGUUUCGCAUUCGAGCGUGCGAUGUAAUGAAAGGACGCCUUGGUUUUGAGCCUAGCUGCACGAGCAGGGUGAUGGUAAAAAAGGCUCCGUCUUCUGUACGCUUCUGGUACCUGGCUGUCUUAUUACAAGAAACUGGAAAUCACUUGGCAGAAUGGAACAGGUUUACGUGCAAGACAUCAUUUCAAAGCAAAAUUUCUCUGAAACCUUGAUUUAAUAAAAAAUAAAAAAUCUGGAAAUCUUCCUUUUAA
This 1284-nucleotide long non-coding RNA is filed under the name Apteryx owenii (little spotted kiwi). RNAcentral describes it as "lncRNA (ENSAOWG00000012980.1)". Lineage: Eukaryota; Metazoa; Chordata; Aves; Apterygiformes; Apterygidae. The record is from RNAcentral.